This 4477-nucleotide long non-coding RNA is filed under the name Sparus aurata (gilthead seabream). RNAcentral's name for it is "lncRNA (ENSSAUG00010014171.1)". The record is from RNAcentral. Lineage: Eukaryota; Metazoa; Chordata; Actinopteri; Spariformes; Sparidae.
AUGGACUGUCUCUGUCUGCGUCAGAGCUCACAGGUCCGCCCGACUCACAUCCAAGUACCAACCAAUCCGAGCCUGCAGGGAGCUGACGAGUUUGGGUGUGUUCACUUUCACUUUGGACUCAGCUGUAACACUUUCCUGACUGUUCAAGCAGGAGGACAGUCAGACCAACUCUGAGGUGACAUAAAGAUCUCUGGAUCAGACUGUACGUGACUGACAAUGGAUGUGGAAAGAAGCAAGCCGACACCAAGUCCUGGAGGAAGUGAACCAGCGUAAGUAAUUAUGUUACUUUGCAGUUGUAGUAUAUUUUAGCUCAUCUGCAGCUGUGUGUCCAGAAAGAACGUCUCAAACUACAUGGCUUUGUAUGUCAAAGGAUGUGUGUAUGAACAGAGACGUCUUGGUGCGUUCAAGUGCACCUACCUUAAUUGUAAAUUACACAUGUACAGUUGUUUGUCAUAGAAGUCUAACAGUAGCAUAGUCUGAAGUACUGGAAACAUUUUUGAAUCAAAAGUCAAACUGAAUCGUGCGUUUGGAGAAUCAUGACACUCUGAGUCACUAGAUAAUCCUCCAUCAUUAAAAUGUUCCUGCAUCUAUGGACAUUUUGUUCAUUCACACAUUACAUACACAAACUCCUUUAUCCAUUUUCUCACACUGUUAUCAUAAUGAGGAUAAGUUAUACAAGCUUUAAUAGUAAUUUACAUGCACAUUGUGAGAAACAUAAAUAAGAUGAUUGCAGGUGUUUGUUUGUGUGUUUCUUCCUUCCAGAGUCUCUGUGGAAAAUCAGCAUUGUGCCUCUACUGAGAGUGACGGACGAGAUGGUCACACUAAGGAGUUAAAUGAGAGAAAUUCCUCUUCUAAAAGGAGGUACGUUUGAACUAAUCAUCACAUUAUUAUAGUGGUUAUUAAUACAUAACUUUCACAGAGUAUUAAAAGUUAGGAACAUUUUGAACAGUCACAUACAGAACCUCUGCUGUCUUCUUCUACACUUUAUCAUAUUAUCAAGUAACAUAACUUACAGUCACAUCAUAACAAUGAUUAUUACUCACUGCAGGGUGGGAGAUGGUUCUCGAGUUGGUUUGAAAGAACAACAUGGAGUUGUAAAGGUGUAUAUUUACAGUUUUCAGACUGUCUGUGAGUCAAAUACUUGUUAGGGCAUCUAUUAACCUCAUUUUGCAUUCUUACAUACAGUCCAGAGAGUUAAUGCAGCAUCUAUGUAUAUAUAUGUGUUUCUAUGGUUUGACCCAAUACGAAGUAUGUUGAAUGCAGUAUGCCACAAAUACCAGGAUGUCCUACUACACCUGGUUGCAUUUUGCAGUGUGCAAACCAACAUGACACCAUUCUGACAGAGAGCCGGGCAGCUCCUGUAGUUUACUGCUGAUGAUUAUGUGACCAGAUUUAGAGCAAAACACUUGAACUCACAUGUGUUUGUCGUCUUUCACUGUUGUGUUGUUGUAGUUACUGUCUCUGGCACAGUGUUGUGGAAUCUCUGUCUGAAAACAGCUCAUGUUUGUUAUGUUCUGACAGGUCACAUUCCCCACCAAUGAAUUUCAAAGAAGGACCUGCCUGGUAAGCUUUUAUCAACAUACAUUCAUUAACAUUUAACACACACAUACAUAGCUUAUAAUAUUAGUAUAUAGUUUAUUACAUUUCAGACUAUUUCCUCUAUUUAACUACAAUCUGCUGUAAUUAGAUGUGUGAUGAGAUGAUAGUAGGUGGAUAGCAGCAGCUUGUGGUGAAGAAGGAAGCUUUUACUAACUGAAUGUUUUGUAUAGUUGCACUACAUGUCCAACCUCUCACCUUAUUCUUCACACUCCUCACUAUCAUAUUUAAAUCCUGCUGAGUUUUUGCUUUCAACAUUUCUUUUCAUUCUGAUGAUGUAGCCUGAUAACAGUGCUGAUUAUUUGCUGCAGGUCAGUCAGAGUCUGAUCUGUUUACCUCAUAUUUAUUCUUUCACACACUUCUUAAAUUACGUCUGUAACUUCUUAAGUUACAGACGUGUGAUUUGUGUUUACCACAGUGUUGUUGCAUUCAGAAACUCUGGGGGGCGCCAACAUGCACAAAGGGCCAGUUUCUACAUAAUGUUGCUUUAAAACCGGCCUGAUACUUCCUUUGUUAUGUAGACUCAUCUCUUCAUGUUGGAUGUGAUUGUGUGUUGUAACAAUUAUCUGAGACUUGGGACCAAUCAUUCAUAGAUAACUGCAACAUUAGUACAUUUUUCAGACGUCACCUUCUUGUUAUUUUGUCGAAAAUGUGUUUCUUAAAUAAGCUUCAUUAAACUGACAAAUUCACAGCAUGUUAUCUUGAUAUAAAAUGAAAUAUGCCAUGAUAAACAUUUGUAUCCAUAUUACUAACCUGCACUUUAAAUAACAUCCUGUGUUUCUUUUACAAAAAGCAAUGGGAUAGAUCUCCCAACUGCCCAGAAGUCUGUUGAUGGAGUCGGGAUGAAACCCUUUUGAGGGACCUGCCAGGAGCUACUUCCACUGGUCUGCUGCUGCUGCUGGUGGCAGUCCUGUAUAACUUCACCAAAAAAAAGGUCCUUUAAAUGAAUAAAGUCGAAACUAUCAUUAGGCAUUCACACCGCCGUUUGGAUGCGGGGAUCCUGCGCCAUUUCUCCUCCUCUGUAUGAAUGUCUCGACAGCGGCGAGGGCUGAAAUCUAGCUCCGGUGCUGACCCGCCUCUGGAGGUAUCAGAGGUCCAGUAUUUGCGGCAAAAAAACUUGAACUUUAUUACACCAAGUGUUUGUGUUGAAAAAAAAAUCACUGCGAUGGUCAGCCCUCCAGACUGAGACUUCAGAGUUACAGUAGUCCAUGUGGGAGAUGACCAAGAGUUGCGACUUGUCCGUCGUGAGGAACAACCGGAUCCUGCAGAUGUCUUAGAGGGCAAAUCUGCAGGAUCGGGAUGAAGAGGAGUUCAGUUUUACUAAGGUUGAGUUUGAGGUGAUGUGCAGUUGUCCAAGUGGAAAUCUCUGCCAGACAUUCAGAGAUGUACAUCACAAUGUGGGUGUUAGAGGAAGAUGGGGAAAAUUGUGAGUAACAGUUGGGUCCCUCAAGACUCCUUAUACUGAACCUUGAGGGACGCCAGUUUCCAGAAGGCAGCAUUUGGAAGAGGAGCUGUUCCAUGUGACCUGAAAGGUGCGAUUUGUCAGGUAUGAUGUGAACCAGGUUAGAGCAGAGUCAGAGAUGCCAAGUUCAGCCAGAGAGGAGAGGAGGAUUUGGUGGUUGAUUGUGUCAAAAGCAGAAAAUAAAUUGAAGAGAAUGAGGACUGACGAGUUGGACGAGGCUCUGGAGGCAACUUGUGGAAACAAGGUCAAGUUGGUUCCCGGCCCGGUGGGGAGAUGAAAGAAGCCCAGCAGAAUAUCAGAUAUGUCAGAUCACCAAGUUUUACUGUAUAUCUUGAAACAAAAAAGUUAUUCCUGAGCAUGUGGAUAUAUGUUUGUGUGUGUGUUUGUAUGUAUAUAUGUAUAUAAUUAUAUUAUAUAUUAUAUAGUUACUGAAAGAUAUAGUAUAUAUUUCCUGCUGCCACAAUGAGAACACAAUGUGAUGACGCUGCAAAGUUCUUAUGGCUUCAUGUUCUUCAUUUUAAACAACAACUACUGCCGGUGAAAAUCUCUCUUUGAGUUUUAUUCCCUGAAUGUUUCGUGUCAUUCAGCAGUUUCGUUCUCAUUCUGACGUUCUCCCAGAAGUUGUAGCAACAGGCAACCAAACGUUACAGUGUUACCUCGAGGUUAAACAUCACUGAACAUAUUGGGUACAAUGUCAACACACAGCUCCACAGAAUAAAUGACAAAGUUGUAGUUGUUUGUUAUGCAGAUUUUCUUAUAAAAAGAAAAAGCCGUUCAAGUUCUGUUUAGGUGAAUUCAGCUGAUGUAAUAGUUUGGUAAAAUGUACAUUAGCUCCCCCAGCUGGAAGAUGAUGUCAUUUUACUGUUACAAGAAAUUAUCAAACUUCUCUUUUCUGUAAUCUGAAGAUCUAAUAUAAUAAAGUAUUAAUGAUUGUGCUUCCUGUGUUUUAAGAACAUGUUGCUUAAAAGUGAAGAUAAUUAUCUUGCAACUACGUUAUUACUUAAGUUAAUGUACUUUAUUAUUUUCCACUUGUAGUUGGACAACAACACAAUGAAGAUGGUCAAGUAUUUAAUUUAAUUUUGUUAAAUUUUAUCUCACUUUAUUCUAUUUGGAUUUAUUUAUUAUUUAUUCCCUGCGGCAGUCAGAGCCCUGAACUCUGCACUCUGAACACUUUUAGUCAUAUUGUAUUUGUUGUAUUCUAUUGUAUUUUAUUUUACUACAGUUGAGCACAGAAGUACAGUACAAGUCACAAAAACAUUUCACUACGCAUCCUGUAUGAGUAUGUGACAAAUAAACCUUUAAAUGUUGAAUCUUGAAUCUCUAUUUUAUUAUAUCUUAUUUUCAUUCUAUCUUUUAUUUUCAUUUGACCUUAUUUUUUAAUUUCAUUUUAUCGUUUUUGCUGUAUCUUUAUUUAAUUCU